AUGAAGCCGCGUGGCCAUCCAAACAACCUCUUGGGGAAUCGGGGGGAGUGGUGGACGCCAUCAAUGGGCACGGUGGCGCACGUAGCCAUGUACGCACAUCACACAACUUCAAAGUCCGGUUGUGGCACAAGGAGGAAGAAGCUUAAACUACCAACCUCCCAAGUCUUGAAAUAUGGAGGCUACAUGGCUGUUCAUGACGCAAGCUCCAUGAAUUAUGACGAUCAGGGGCCAUAUGACGACUGUGCUAAGCUAUCAUUUUGAUAUAAAAAACCAUCAAUUUAGCACUUAUUAUGGUGAUGGGGUCACAUGGCGGCUCUUCUACAGUUGCUCUUAGCACUACUAGGGUAAAUCUUAUAGGUAGAGACUUAGCAAUAGUGCGGCUCUGUAACACGCGUUACUACUAACUUACAACACCGCCGGGAGGAAAAGAACGCUACAGGUAAGCCUGUCAGUAGCGCGGGCAAGCCGAACCGCGCUGCUGCUAAGUGGUCCCCACAAUACCCACCAGGCUACCUAUAGUUGCAGCAUGUUCCACUAAACCCCUACUAUUGCUAAACCGAUAGCCGUAGCACGUGUUACAGACCCACUACUGCAACUAUUGUGAGAACGAAGGGAGGAGCGACCAUCAUCGACGGUCGAAUAUAUCAGAGGGGGAGUGACCAUCAUAUACACCACGUGAGAUGAGAGUUUUCAAGGAUGACUCGACAGACCAAAAGUCAACCUGUGCCGAAUAGUGAUAUGUGUGUUAAGUUCCUGAUAAUUGUUGAGUUCCUAAAAUGUCUGGCGAUGAUAGGAUCCUGAGUGCGAUUACUGCGGCGACGACCGAGGUAUGUGCAACAUGCAUCACCUGGAAAAUGGUAGGUUCUUCACCAUCAAGCUAGAUGAGACGCUCGAUGUUUUUAGUGCAUCGUCCCCUGCCAUGCAAGACUGUAUGACUUGGAGAAGCUCGGUUUCCAAGAUACUGACAAUAUGGAGACGAAGAUAUCUCACCAUAAGACUCAACAUGGUUACACUUUUUGGGUUAAGCUCUACAAUACAGUUAAUCACUCACAUUUUGGUUGCUCAAAUUGAAGAGCUCUAUGCAAGGCCUAUGUAUUUCAGGAGGAUAUGCAAAUAACCUUCGAUAUUCAUCUUGAAGAUGAUAUUGAAGAUAAUAUCAACAUUUGGGUGGAUGUCGAUGUGCUUCCAGUUCUACCUCUAUGUGAGUUUGUCAAACAAUUUUUUUAUUUUUUAUUUUUAUUUAAAAAUAGUUAACAGCUUAUUUCCAUCCUUCAACAAAUAUACGAAAGGUAGUAGUCAAAACCUACUACAUUUAUGGCUCUGAACUAACUUGCGAGGACAAAAUUCAUCUUGUCUCAUUUAUUAAUGAUGUUGAGACUUUCAAGAGCAAUUACGAAAUUAACUCCAAUUAUGCUCAAUACGUGCCAUUAGUCCAUGUGUCGAACUACGGUAACAUCCAUGAAAAUAGCAUGGUAAGAUUUUUUAUUAUUAUGUCUCCAGUGCAUCUUUUGCAUACAUUCUUCUUAAGUUAAACUACAUUGCUAACCAUGUUAUUAUUAUGUUCUUCAACACAAACUCCUGAAGGAUCGUGUGCCUCAUAUGAUGUAUAUGAAAGGUGACACGAAUAUUAUUAGCUUACGGCCAAGUCUGCCUAUGGUUCACCGCAGUGCAUACUCGAUUUCUCGAAGAGAUGAAGACCUCACAAUCAAAGGAUGGAGAAAAGUUAUGAAUGAUCGCAGGGAACUACUUGGAAGCAACAUGGUGCGCAACCCACAAAUUGGAGCGAAGUGGAUCUCUAUUCUCCAUAAUGGAGAUUUAGGGGCUAUCCUGUUUUAUACUAUUUUACCUGAGCGAGAGUAGCAGGUCCUAGCUCGUACGCAUCAUGUGCUAAGAACAAUUAGCUAGUGUUGGUUAUGACUAUGAUGACGAUGAUGAGUUAUUAUCAUUAUUACGAUGA
Long non-coding RNA from Triticum aestivum (bread wheat), 1957 nucleotides. RefSeq lists it as uncharacterized. NCBI's taxonomy places the organism in Eukaryota, Viridiplantae, Streptophyta, Magnoliopsida, Poales, Poaceae. The transcript is spliced from 2 exons. The record is from RefSeq and is a predicted model, not a curated record.